Molecule: ribosomal RNA, 248 nt
Filed under: uncultured bacterium
Lineage: Bacteria
Description: partial 16S ribosomal RNA
Rfam family: Bacterial small subunit ribosomal RNA
Source: RNAcentral
UACGUAGGGGGGCAAGCGUUGUCCGGAAUCAUUGGGCGUAAAGAGCGUGUAGGCGGCCCGGUAAGUCCGCUGUGAAAGUCCAGGGCUCAACCCUGGGAUGCCGGUGGAUACUGUCGGGCUCGAGUCCGGAAGAGGAGUGUGGAAUUCCGUGGUGUAGCGGUGAAAUGCGCAGAUAUCAGGAGGAACACCAAUGGCGAAGGCAGCUCGCUGGACGGUACUGACGCUGGAGGCGCGAAGCGUGGGAGCGA